CACGUAGGGCGCAAGCGUUGUCCGGAAUUAUUGGGCGUAAAGAGCUCGUAGGUGGUUUGUUACGUCUGCUGUGAAAACCUAGGGCUUAACCCUGGGCUUGCAGUGGAUACGGGCAGACUAGAGGUAGGUAGGGGAGAAUGGAAUUCUUGGUGUAGCGGUGAAAUGCGCAGAUAUCAGGAGGAACACCGGUGGCGAAGGCGGUUCUCUGGGCCUUACCUGACACUGAGGAGCGAAAGCGUGGGGAGCGAACAGG
RNAcentral lists this ribosomal RNA (253 nucleotides) under uncultured bacterium. RNAcentral's name for it is "partial 16S ribosomal RNA". It matches the Rfam family "Bacterial small subunit ribosomal RNA", at positions 524 to 776 of the family's 1533-position model. The record is from RNAcentral.